Molecule: ribosomal RNA, 466 nt
Filed under: uncultured bacterium
Lineage: Bacteria
Description: partial 16S ribosomal RNA
Rfam family: Bacterial small subunit ribosomal RNA
Source: RNAcentral
GAUGAACGCUGGCGGCGUGCCUAACACAUGCAAGUCGAGCGAACCCUUCGGGGUGAGCGGCGGACGGGUGAGUAACGCGUGGGUAACCUGCCCUAUACACACGGAUAACGUACCGAAAGGUACGCUAAUACGGGAUAAUAUUGUUGGAUGGCAUCUUCUAACAAUCAAAGCUCCGGCGGUAUAGGAUGGACCCGCGUCUGAUUAGCUAGUUGGUGAGGUAAUGGCUCACCAAGGCGACGAUCAGUAGCCGACCUGAGAGGGUGAUCGGCCACACUGGAACUGCGACACGGUCCAGACUCCUACGGGAGGCAGCAGUGGGGAAUAUUGCACAAUGGGCGAAAGCCUGAUGCAGCAACGCCGCGCGAGCGAUGAAGGUCUUCGGAUCGUAAAGCUCUGUCCUCAAGGAAGAUAAUGACGGUACUUGAGGAGGAAGCCCCGGCUAACUACGUGCCAGCCGCCGCAGUAA